RNAcentral lists this ribosomal RNA (406 nucleotides) under uncultured bacterium. Its description in RNAcentral is "partial 16S ribosomal RNA". It matches the Rfam family "Bacterial small subunit ribosomal RNA", at positions 30 to 527 of the family's 1533-position model. The record is from RNAcentral.
AUUGAACGCUGGCGGCAGGCCUAACACAUGCAAGUCGAACGAGUGGCGGACGGGUGAGUAAUGUCUGGGAAACUGCCUGAUGGAGGGGGAUAACUACUGGAAACGGUAGCUAAUACCGCAUACCAUAGGAUGUGCCCAGAUGGGAUUAGCUAGUCGGUGGGGUAAAGGGUCACCUAGGCGACGAUCCCUAGCUGGUCUAAGAGGAUGACCAGCACCGCUGGCACUGAGACACGGUCCAGACUCCUGCGGGAGGCAGCAGUGGGGAAUGAUGCACAAUGGGCGCAAGCCUGAUGCAGACAUGCGGGGUGUAUGAAGAAGGCCUUCGGUUUGUAAAGUACUUCCAGCAGGGAGGCGUUAGCAACAGAAUAAGCACGGGCUAACGCCGUGCCAGCAGCCGCGGUAAUUG